GUGAGGAAUAUUGGUCAAUGGGCGGAAGCCUGAACCAGCCAAGUAGCGUGCAGGAUGACGGCCCUAUGGGUUGUAAACUGCUUUUAUACAGGAAUAAAGUUAGCCACGUGUGGUUAUUUGUAGGUACUGUAUGAAUAAGGACCGGCUAAUUCCGUGCCAGCAGCCGCGGUAAUACGGAAGGUCCAGGCGUUAUCCGGAUUUAUUGGGUUUAAAGGGAGCGUAGGCCGUCUGUUAAGCGUGUUGUGAAAUGUAGAUGCUCAACAUCUGAAUUGCAGCGCGAACUGGCAGACUUGAGUGUGCGCAACGUAGGCGGAAUUCGUGGUGUAGCGGUGAAAUGCUUAGAUAUCACGAAGAACUCCGAUUGCGAAGGCAGCUUACGGGAGCACAACUGACGCUGAAGCUCGAAAGUGCGGGUAUCGAACAGGAUUAGAUACCCCAGUAGUCC
This 445-nucleotide ribosomal RNA is filed under the name uncultured bacterium. Its description in RNAcentral is "partial 16S ribosomal RNA". It matches the Rfam family "Bacterial small subunit ribosomal RNA", at positions 354 to 796 of the family's 1533-position model. The record is from RNAcentral.